GACGGCGGAAGCUCAUCGGAUAAAAGCUACUCCGGGGAUAACAGGCUAGUCACGCCCAAGCGUCCACAGCGACGGCGUGGUUCGGCACCUCGAUGUCGGCUCGUCGCAUCCUGGGGGUGGAGAAGCUCCCAAGGGUUGGGCUGUUCGCCCAUUAAAGCGGCACGCGAGCUGGGUUCAGACCGUCGUAAGACAGGUUGGUCUCCUAUCUACUAUGGUCGCGGAAACUUGAGAAGGACAUUCUUCAGUACGAGAGGACCGAGAAUGACGAAGCUCUAGUGUACCAACUGUCCCACCAGGGGCAUCGCUGGGUAGCUACCUUCGGUUAGGAUAAACGCUGAAAGCAUCUAAGCGUGAAGCCGUCUUCAAGAUUAGGUUUCAUAGGUUGGUCAGAGAAUAUGACCUUGAUAGGCUCUAGGUGUAAGGCCCGCAAGGGUUUGAGCCAAGGAGUACUAAUAAACCAUUUGAUUUUCCCAC
RNAcentral lists this ribosomal RNA (474 nucleotides) under Patescibacteria group bacterium. Its description in RNAcentral is "partial 23S ribosomal RNA". It matches the Rfam family "Bacterial large subunit ribosomal RNA", at positions 2437 to 2925 of the family's 2925-position model. The record is from RNAcentral.